Molecule: non-coding RNA, 422 nt
Organism: Cinara cedri
Lineage: Eukaryota; Metazoa; Arthropoda; Insecta; Hemiptera; Aphididae
Source: the annotation of a GenBank genome assembly
CGGGGCUUGACGCAUUGACUGCCAUGCGCAUAUUUUUCGGUACACUGCGCACUUGCUGUUCACGUGCAACUAUAUUUUUUUUGAAUUCGGAGCGCAGCCAGGAAACUAUUGGUUUUACAAUCAAGUGUAGCACCAAUUCUGAAAGGAAAUUUUGUCUAGUUGGUACUUUGAGAAGGCCAUUUUUUAAUUUUCCAAGCAGUUUUCAUAAUAAAUGAGAAAAACAGGGGAAUAAAUUGAAGUAAAAUUGAAAAAUGUGCGCAUAUGUAAAAAAGAAACUUGCUCCGAAUCGAUUUUUGUUAGCAUUGGUUGCGUACAGAUAUAAACUCAAUCCUCCUCUAUAUCUUACCUUCACAACUCGUCACCUACAACAUUGGCCCACUGCGAAGUAUGUUUUUCUUUUUCUUUUUUUUUCUGUAUGUUUG